RNAcentral lists this long non-coding RNA (1839 nucleotides) under Gallus gallus (chicken). The record is from RNAcentral. Lineage: Eukaryota; Metazoa; Chordata; Aves; Galliformes; Phasianidae.
GCGGAUAUAAAGAAUAUUUUAAGUACUAACUUAAUUAAACCGUAUUGAUCAAAUAAUCCUGAACAAGGUGCAAUAAAUUCAGAGGAUUAAAAGAAUGUUUCAGAAUGAUGAAAAUAGUAUUUUUAUAGAUAAAAGUAUUACUGAGCCAGAAUGGAGACAAUUUAGCUUUUAGAGAAGCAACAGGACUUGACUAUUCAUGAUCAAGCACAGUUUGUACCCUCAUUUAUAUUAUGGUAUUUGAUUUCCAUACAAAUGCUCCAUAACACAAGGAUUAGGCCAUAUAUGCUAAGCAGCUGCUUAGAAAGUACAUGUUUUGAUUGUGCAAGAAAAAGGAAUCAAGAGAUGCAUGAAAAGAGGCAAAUGUGGAAUUAAUAACAAUCGAAACAAUAAAGAACUGUCAGGAGUAAUUCACUGCUUUUACGUGGGGUAAAAGAAAGCAUAGAGUUUAAAAUUUCCAUGUAGUUCAGAAGUAAAAUAGGGCUUUUUUUUUUUUUAGUAGAGAAUAGCAGAAAAUAGUUUCUCUCAAAGAUGUGAUCUGGGAGAUAAAUUUUUACACUUUUUUUUAAGCAACCCAUCUUUGAGAAGCACAGAAGAUAAUUCAGUUUGUUCAGAAACAUGCAGACCUUUCUGGGUCAAAUCUUCACCUCGCUCAUGGAGCAUUUCCAUUGAAGUCAACCUGCCUUCCCUUUAAAGCUUUCUCUUCUCAGCUAGCCAGCCCUGGUGUAUUCUAUGAGAAAAACUCAUCCUCAGAUGUCAGUCUGUGGUGUGUUCUCUGAACAAUUGCAACAAGGAAAAAAAUGGAAGCAAGUAUACUGAGCGUCCCAGAUUGCUGUAGCAGGCUCACAGCUUCUGUCACCACUAAAAAGGAAUUGGAAUUUGCUCAGAAGUAGACAGCCAGAAAUGUACAGGAGUCAUAUACAAAAACUGCAUAUUUAAUUUAUUUUCUUAAUUUCAAUUUUCUUCGUUUGAAAUGUUACACUCUUGUCAUUUAUCUUUUAUUUGUCCAUCUCAAAAGUUCAUGUAGUACAAAACAUAUGCUAUUAGGUAUGCACUCAAAUCUUUGCAGUCUCCUUAAACUGUAAAGGCUUCAAGAUUCAAAGAUUCAGAUCAUUACUGGUUUUUUAUUUGUAUUUGCACAGUUUCUGCAGUGCCCGGUGCCUUUUUAGAAACAGUAACUGGUAUCACAGUAUGUCACAUUUUCCUUCCAAAGACCAAGAAUUAAGGAUUAGCUUUGUGGACAUGAAACUUUCUGCUAUUAGGUGAAACACUUUCUACUACUCUUUGCCAUUACCGAAGAGAGCUUGGCCUGCUUUCCUUCUCUACUUAAGUCAAUAGAAAAUGGAAAACAGUAAAUAUCUGCUCUCAGACAAGCUGCUAAUGUAACAUUAUUUUCUAUAAAUAGUCCACAUCAACUGAGUUCAUCUAUUUCUGUCUGCUAAUAAGUUGUGCAUACUGACUUGUUCGUGUACAGCUUUUCAGAAGUCAAAUCCAUUCCAGCUAAAUAUGAUUCUGAAAGUUGAAUUUAAUGCAGUAAUUCUGGCUCUGGCCCAGAGACUGAACUGGACACCUGGAACAGGAACUAAUCUUGCAAUAUAUUCAGAUUUCUAUCUGCAAAAACCUAUGAGAUUUUUCUGUAAUAUGUGCACACAGAACUGAGGAAUAAUCACAAAAAAACAUCUUUUGAAGGAAUGAAUGAAAAAAUCCUGAUUACCUUUCCCAGUCUCCCAGUCAGUCAUGAAUGAAAAUCCUUCCCACUCCCUUGUUGUUGUUGUUUGUUUGUUUAUUUUUUAAGGAGAAUGAAUUCCAAUGUUCUCGUUGUCAGUAUGGAUCAAGACCUCG